This 789-nucleotide ribosomal RNA is filed under the name uncultured Methanomicrobiaceae archaeon. RNAcentral describes it as "bacterial SSU rRNA". It matches the Rfam family "Archaeal small subunit ribosomal RNA", at positions 85 to 879 of the family's 1478-position model. Lineage: Archaea; Methanobacteriati; Methanobacteriota; Methanomicrobia; Methanomicrobiales; Methanomicrobiaceae. The record is from RNAcentral.
ACGGCUCAGUAACACGUGGACAACCUACCCUACGGAGGGGGAUAACCCCGGGAAACUGGGGAUAAUACCCCAUAGACUAUGGAUGCUGGAAUGCUCUGUAGCCGAAAGGUCCGCCGCCGUAGGAUGGGUCUGCGGCCGAUUAGGUUGUUGUUGGGGUAACGGCCCAACAAGCCUGUAAUCGGUACGGGUUGUGGGAGCAAGAGCCCGGAGAUGGAUUCUGAGACACGAAUCCAGGCCCUACGGGGCGCAGCAGGCGCGAAAACUUUGCAAUGCGGGAAACCGUGACAAGGGAACUCUGAGUGCCCGUAAAAUCGGGCUGUCCAUCGGUUUAAAUAACCGGUGAAGAAAGGGCCGGGCAAGACCGGUGCCAGCCGCCGCGGUAAUACCGGCGGCUCGAGUGGUGGCCACUAUUACUGGGCUUAAAGCGUUCGUAGCUGGUUUGUUAAGUCUCUGGGGAAAUCUUCCGGCUUAACCGGAAGGCGUCUCAGGGAUACUGGCAGACUAGGGACCGGGAGAGGUGAGAGGUACUCCAGGGGUAGGAGUGAAAUCCUGUAAUCCUUGGGGGACCACCUGUGGCGAAGGCGUCUCACCAGAACGGCUCCGACAGUGAGGGACGAAAGCUAGGGGCACGAACCGGAUUAGAUACCCGGGUAGUCCUAGCCGUAAACGAUGCUCGCUAGGUGUCACAACAGUCGUGAACUGUUGUGGUGCCGUAGGGAAGCCGUGAAGCGAGCCACUUGGGAAGUACGACCGCAAGGUUGAAACUUAAAGGAGUUGGCGGGGGAGCAC